UACGAAGGGGGCUAGCGUUGUCCGGAUUUAUUGGGUUUAAAGGGUGCGUAGGCGGUCUAUUAAGUCAGCGGUGAAAUACUCCAGCUUAACUGGAGGGGUGCCAUUGAUACUGAUGGACUUGAGUCAAGUCGAGGUAGGCGGAAUUGACGGUGUAGCGGUGAAAUGCUUAGAUAUCGUCAAGAACACCAAUAGUGAAGACAGCUUACUGGGCUUAAACUGACGCUGAGGCACGAAAGUGUGGGGAUCAAACAGG
Molecule: ribosomal RNA, 253 nt
Filed under: uncultured bacterium
Lineage: Bacteria
Description: partial 16S ribosomal RNA
Rfam family: Bacterial small subunit ribosomal RNA
Source: RNAcentral